RNAcentral lists this long non-coding RNA (1838 nucleotides) under Mytilus galloprovincialis (Mediterranean mussel). The record is from RNAcentral. Lineage: Eukaryota; Metazoa; Mollusca; Bivalvia; Mytilida; Mytilidae.
UUUUUUUGAGUUGCUCUGUGUAGUGUGUAAUGACAUAUUUUGUUUUUUUGAGUUGCUCUGUGUAGUGUGUAAUGACAUAUUUUAUGGGUUUUUUUUAGUUUCUCUGUGUAGUGUGUAAUGACAUAUUUUAUGUUUUAUUGUGUUGCUUUGUGUAGUGUGUAAUGACAUAUUUUAUGUUUUUUUGAGCUGCUCUGUGUAGUGUGUAAUGACAUAAUUUGUUUUUUUGAGCUGCUCUGUGUAGUGUGUAAUGACAUAGUUUAUAUUUUUUUGAGUUGCUCUGUGUAGUGUGUAAUGACAUAUUUUAUGUUUUUUGAGUUGCUCUGUGUAGUGUGUAAUGACAUAUUUUAUGUUUUUUUAGUUGCUCUGUGUAGUGUGUAAUGACAUAUUUUAUGUUUUUUUAGUUGCUCUGUGUAGUGUGUAAUGACAUAUUUAUGUUUUUUUUAGUUGCUCUGUGUAGUGUGUAAUGACAUAUUUUAUGUUUUUUUUGAGUUGCUCUGUGUAGUGUGUAAUGACAUAUUUUAUGUUUUUUUGUAUUGCUUUGUGUAGUGUGUAAUGACAUAUUUUAUGUUUUUUUGUGUUGCUUUGUGUAAUGUGUAAUGACAUAUUUUAUGUUUUUUUAGCUGCUCUGUGUAGUGUGUAAUGACACAUUUUAUGUUUUUUCAGUUGCUCUGUGUAGUGUGUAAUGACAUAUUUUGUUUUUUUGAGUUGCUCUGUGUAGUGUGUAAUGACAUAUUUUAUGUUUUUUUUAGCUGCUCUGUGUAGUGUGUAAUUACAUAUUUUAUGUUUUUUUGUGUUGCUCUGUGUAGUGUGUAAUGACAUCUUUUAUGUUUUUUUGAGCUGCUCUGUGUAGCGUGUAAUGACAUAUUUUAUGGUUUUUUGAGCUGCUCUGUGUAGUGCGUAAUGACAUAUUUUAUGUUUUUUUAGCUGCUCUGUGUAGUGUGUAAUGACAUAAUUUAUGUUUUUUUGAGCUGCUCUGUGUAGUGUGUAAUGACAUAUUUUAAGUUUUUUUUAGUUGCUCUGUGUAGUGUGUAAUGACAUAUUUUAUGGGUUUUUUUCAGCUGCUCUGUGUAGUGUGUAAUGACAUAUUUUAUGUUUUUUUUAGUUGCUCUGUGUAGUGUGUAAUGACAUAUUUUAUGUUUUUUUUAGUUGCUCUGUGUAGUGUGUAAUGACAUAUUUUAUGUUUUUUUCAGUUGCUCUGUGUAGUGUGUGUAUUGACAUAUUUUAUGUUUUUUUUAGCUGCUCUGUGUAGUGUGUAAUGACAUAUUUUAUGUUUUUUUUUAAGUUGCUCUGUGUAGUGUGUAAUGACAUAUUUUAUGUUUUUUUGAGUUGCUCUGUGUAGUGUGUAAUGACAUAUUUUAUGUUUUUUUAGUUGCUCUGUGUAGUGUGUAAUGACAUAUUUUAUGUUUUUUAGUUGCUCUGUGUAGUGUGUAAUGACCUAUUUUAUGUUUUUUUUAGUUGCUCUGUGUAGUGUGUAAUGUAAUGACAUAUUUUAUGUUUUUUUUAGUUGCUCUGUGUAGUGUGUAAUGACAUAUUUUAUGUUUUUUUGAGUUGCUCUGUGUAGUGUGUAAUGACAUAUUUUAUGUUUUUUGAGUUGCUCUGUGUAGUGUGUAAUGACAUUUUAUGUUUUUUUGAGUUGCUCUGUGUAGUGUGUAAUGACAUAUUUUAUGUUUUUUUUAGUUGCUUUGUGUAGUGUGUAAUGACAUUUUAUGUUUUUUUGAGUUGCUCUGUGUAGUGUGUAAUGACAUAUUUUAUGUUUUUUUUAGCUGCUCUGUGUAGUGUGUAAUGACAUAUUUUAUGUUUUUUUAGCUGCUCUGUGUAGUGUGUAAUGACAUAUUUUA